RNAcentral lists this ribosomal RNA (838 nucleotides) under Genea vagans. RNAcentral's name for it is "LSU rRNA". It matches the Rfam family "Eukaryotic large subunit ribosomal RNA", at positions 82 to 929 of the family's 3401-position model. Lineage: Eukaryota; Fungi; Ascomycota; Pezizomycetes; Pezizales; Pyronemataceae. The record is from RNAcentral.
AGUAACUGCGAGUGAAGUGGCAAAAGCUCAAAUUUGAAAUCCGGUACCUUUGGUGCCUGAGUUGUAAUUUGGAGAGACAAAUUUGGUUGACGGUGCCGGCCUAGGUUCCUUUGAACAGGACAACACAGAGGGUGAGAAUCCCGUGCCUGGCUGGCUGACCGUCACAUCUCUAAAUUGUCUUCGACGAGUCGAGUUGUUUGGGAAUGCAGCUCAAAAUGGGUGGUAAAUGUCAUCUAAAGCUAAAUAUUGGCGAGAGACCGAUAGCGCACAAGUAGAGUGAUCGAAAGAUGAAAAGCACUUUGAAAAGAGAGUCAAAAAGUACGUGAAAUUGCUGAAAGGGAAGCGCUUGAGACCAGACUCGAACCGUGGUGAUCAGCCGUGCUUCUGUGCGGUGUCACUUGCCACGGUUUGGGCCAGCAUCGGUUCUGGCGGUCGGAUAAAAGGUGGAGGAAUGUAGCUUCCUUCGGGGAGUGUUAUUAGCCCCCACCACAAUGCGGCCAGCCGGGACCGAGGACCGCGUGGGCUUCUGCUAGGAUGCUGGCGUAAUGGUCUUAAGCGACCCGUCUUGAAACACGGACCAAGGAGUCUAACAUCUAUGCGAGUGUUCGGGUGGAAAACCCUUGCGCGAAAUGAAAGUGAACGGAGGUGGGAACCCGCAAGGGUGCACCAUCGACCGAUCCCGAAGUCUUCGGAAGGAUUUGAGUAGGAGCACAGAUGUUGGGACCCGAAAGAUGGUGAACUAUGCCUGAAUAGGGUGAAGCCAGAGGAAACUCUGGUGGAGGCUCGCAGCGGUUCUGACGUGCAAAUCGAUCGUCAAAUUUGGGUAUAGGGGCGAAAG